Molecule: small RNA, 2051 nt
Filed under: Arabidopsis thaliana (thale cress)
Lineage: Eukaryota; Viridiplantae; Streptophyta; Magnoliopsida; Brassicales; Brassicaceae
Description: ATSL088340
Rfam family: Plant small nucleolar RNA R71 (bases 996-1102)
Source: RNAcentral
AUGAAUAGUCGAUCUCAGCAACAGAGACUUCAAUCUAAGUGGAAGCCUCCCCUUCUUGAAUUACACUGUCCUCAGUGUUUGAUGUAGAGACAUGUUGAGUUGGCAGCUUUCGCUCAUGUCUGAUAGUGAUUGCGUGUGCAGUGGCGUACUCCUUAGGGUUUUUGAUUGCUUUUCCUGGAAGCUGGCCUGGGUUGUUUGUAACAGGUGGUGAAGUAGUGAUGCCGUCCAGAUACCGUACCCUUGUGUUCAAUGAUUCCAACCUGCUACUCAGUUCAUUGAACUGUCUGUCAACUUUGUUGUUUAAGUCAGCUAGCUUCUUAGCAGAUUCCAUUACCCCUGCGGCUUGACCUUGCAUGAUCUGUUGGAGCAUAUUCUUGAUGUCUGAUUCCUGGGGUGUAGAGGGCUGAUGUUGUUGUGGUGUGAAACCAGGUGGUGGCUGUUGCUGUUGAUACCCUCCUUGGAACUGUUGCUUAGGAACGAACCCUUGACUUUGGUUGUAAGUAACAAACGGUUUGGGUUGGUUCUGCUGCAGCUGCUGUUGAGGGUAAACUUGGUCCUGAGGAUUGGCGACAUUUGUGCUUCUGUAUGACAGAUUUGGGUUGGGUCUGUAAUUGUUGUACCCUUUGUUGUAGCCGCCUUGGUUCUGAACAUAACUGAUUUCAGCGCCCUGAUCAUUCUCCCCCUCUUGGAUUUGGAAUUCUUCGUCUUCAGAGGCGAAGUGAACAUGCUUCUGCUGCACUUUGAGGAGUUUGUCAAUUUUGUCAUGGAGAGCUUUAAUCUCUCGGCGGUGCUUGUCAUCAGAUUCAGUACUGGUGCGGAUGCUUCUGUCAUAAUCCUCGUUGUAAUUGCAAUCCGACUGAGCCAAGUUUUCAACUAGCUCCCAUCCGUCUUCGACAUCCUUGUUCAGGAAAUUCCCAUUGGAGGCGGUGUCAAGGAGCAUGCGUAUCUUAGGCAGGACGCCUCUGUAAAGUGUGCUGAGAAGAGAUGCUUCCUUAAAUCCGUGAUGGGGGCAUUUGGUUUGAUAACCCUUAAACCGCUCCCAAGCUUCACAGAAGCUUUCAUUUUGCUUCUGAGUGAAUCCGGAUAUCUCGUUCCAGAGUCUUGCAGUCCUGAAGUUGGAGAAGAAUUUUGCCAAGAAGGUCCUUUUGCAGUCAUCCCAGGUCGUGAUUGAUCCCUGGGGUAGCGUCUUUUCCCACAUAUGGGCUUUAUCUCCAAGUGAAAAUGGAAACAAGCGAAGCUUGAAACCAUCUUCACUAACUCCAUUGAUUUUAGUAAGGCCACAGAGCCUUUCAAACUCGUCAAGAUGAUCUAGCGGAUCCUCCAUUGGCAGGCCAUGAAACUUGUUCCCCUGAACCAUUGCAAUGAGACCGCUUUUGAUCUCAAAGUUGUUGUUCUGUAUUGGAGAUGGAACAAUUCCAUGACGCUGGUUGUGGUUGUGAGGGAAGUCACCAGCACCAAUGUUGGUAGGUUGCUCUUGCUCAUCUACAACGUCAGCCAUUGUGUCGGUUUCUGUCUGUUCUCUUAGUUGGCGAGCAAUACGGUAGAUGUUAUCGUUGAAUAGGAGAUUCUGAUUUCCUUGUGACCGUGUAUGCAUGCAACAGAUAGCAGCCGGGCUAUAACAGACGAAUCAGAGAUGCGUCUGGAAAGCGGGUUGCAAGGUACCUGAAACACAAAGACAGAAAAGGCACAAUGUUAGUAACUUGUGUAACAAAAACGAACCUGAUCUUAAUGUUUCUAAUGAUCUCAAAUAUAGCAAACAAACAUCAAACUGGCAACGGCGCGAAAUUGAUAGUAGGAUUUUUGUCAAUUAAUCCCUAAAACAUUAUCUUGUCGUUGUAGUAUUUUAGGAUGUCAAUCUAAUCCGGUGUGAUGCAAAAAGAUGAGAUAUGAUCAGAAAGCUCUAAGUCAAGCCAAGCAGAUGGUUGGUUGGUUCUAACAGUCCUAGUAUGCAAUAACAGAAAUGAAAUGAAACUAAAAGCAGGAAUGGCAAUAGCAGGCAAGUGAAUGACAAAGCAGAAAUGAUAACAGGCAAUCAAAUGGAUAAACGAUUC